GGGCGUGAGGGAAUACGCUUUUCGGAGGUGUAACCUUCUGUCAGUGGGACGAAACAAUGACGGGUACCACAAAGGGAGCACCGGCUUACUCCGUGCAAGCAGCCGCGGUAAGACGGAGGGUGCAAGCGUUGUCCGGAAUUAUUGGGCGUAAAGCGUUCGUAGGCGGUAUGCCAAGUCUGAUGUUAAAGCCUGGAGCUCAACUCCAGUUCGGCAUUGGAUACUGGUAAACUAGAGUACAGAAGAGGCAAGGGGAAUUCCUAGUGUAGCGGUGAGAUGCGUAGAUAUUAGGAGGAACACCAGCUGCGUAAGCGCCUUGCUGGGCUGUUACUGACGCUGAGGGACGAAAGCCAGGGUAGCGAAUGGGAUUAGAUACCCCAGUAGUCCUGGCCGUAAACGAUGGAUACUAGGUGUCGCGGGUAUCGACCCCUGCGGUGCUGCAGUUAACGCAGUAAGUAUCCCGCCUGGGGAGUACGCACGCAAGUGUGAAACUCAAAGGAAUUGACGGGGACCCGCACAAGCGGUGGAACAUGUGGUUUAAUUCGAAGCAACGCGAAGAACCUUACCAGGACUUGACAUCUGAAGAAUCUUCCAGAAAUGGAGGAGUGCCUUCGGGAACUUCAAGACAGGUGGUGCACGGUUGUCGUCAGCUCGUGUCGUGAGAUGUUGGGUUAAGUCCCGCAACGAGC
Molecule: ribosomal RNA, 686 nt
Filed under: uncultured bacterium
Lineage: Bacteria
Description: bacterial SSU rRNA
Rfam family: Bacterial small subunit ribosomal RNA
Source: RNAcentral